UGAUCCUGGCUCAGGACGAACGCUGGCGGCGUGCUUAACACAUGCAAGUCGAGCGGAAAGGCCCUUCGGGGUACUCGAGCGGCGAACGGGUGAGUAACACGUGAGUAACCUGUCCUUGGCUUUGGGAUAACCCUCGGAAACGGGGGCUAAUACCGGAUAU
Molecule: ribosomal RNA, 160 nt
Filed under: Penicillium rubens Wisconsin 54-1255
Lineage: Eukaryota; Fungi; Ascomycota; Eurotiomycetes; Eurotiales; Aspergillaceae
Description: 16S ribosomal RNA
Rfam family: Bacterial small subunit ribosomal RNA
Source: RNAcentral